UUCGGCACCGCUGUUUCUUUCGCAGCUCCCCGCAAGCCGUCGUCGACGCAUUUAGCAUUCGUAUCUGCACGCGAUUUCUGGUCGCCUUCUCCGACGCGGC
Molecule: regulatory RNA element, 100 nt
Rfam family: Pseudomon-Rho RNA
Source: Rfam